This 267-nucleotide unclassified non-coding RNA is filed under the name uncultured fungus. RNAcentral's name for it is "partial contains 5.8S ribosomal RNA, internal transcribed spacer 2, and large subunit ribosomal RNA". Lineage: Eukaryota; Fungi. The record is from RNAcentral.
AACGCACAUUGCGCCCGCCAGUACCCUGGCGGGCAUGCCUGUCCGAGCGUCACUUCCACCGUCGAGGCCCCCCUAGGGGGCCCGUGUUGGGGGUCCUGCGGCCUUGCCGCCAGGCCCCCGAAACGCAGUGGCGGGGCUCGCUGUCACCCCGAGCGCAGUAGGUUCUUCCACGGCUCGCUCAGGGCGUGCGGCGGGCACCCGGCCGUCAAAACCCCCCCCAACAGAAAGGUUGACCUCGGAUCAGGUAGGAAUACCCGCUGAACUUAA